This 72-nucleotide transfer RNA is filed under the name Ovis aries (sheep). It matches the Rfam family "tRNA". Rfam says of the family: Transfer RNA (tRNA) molecules are approximately 80 nucleotides in length. Their secondary structure includes four short double-helical elements and three loops (D, anti-codon, and T loops). Further hydrogen bonds mediate the characteristic L-shaped molecular structure. tRNAs have two regions of fundamental functional importance: the anti-codon, which is responsible for specific mRNA codon recognition, and the 3' end, to which the tRNAs corresponding amino acid is attached (by aminoacyl-tRNA synthetases). tRNAs cope with the degeneracy of the genetic code in two manners: having more than one tRNA (with a specific anti-codon) for a particular amino acid; and 'wobble' base-pairing, i.e. permitting non-standard base-pairing at the 3rd anti-codon position. The record is from Rfam by way of RNAcentral. Lineage: Eukaryota; Metazoa; Chordata; Mammalia; Artiodactyla; Bovidae.
UCCCUGGUGGCUCAGCUGGUAAAGAACCUGCCUGCAAUGCAGGAGACCUGGGUUCGAUCCCUAGGUUCGGAA